Molecule: ribosomal RNA, 274 nt
Filed under: uncultured bacterium
Lineage: Bacteria
Description: partial 16S ribosomal RNA
Rfam family: Archaeal small subunit ribosomal RNA
Source: RNAcentral
AAACCAGCACCUCAAGUGGUCAGGAUGAUUAUUGGGCCUAAAGCAUCCGUAGCCUGUUCUGUAAGUUUCCGGUUAAAUCCAUUAGCUCAACUAAUGGGCUGCCGAAAAUACUGCAGAACUAGGGAGUGGGAGAGGUAGACGGUACUCGGUAGGAAGGGGUAAAAUCCUUUGAUCUAUUGAUGACCACCUGUGGCGAAGGCGGUCUACCAGAACACGUUCGACGGUGAGGGAUGAAAGCUGGGGGAGCAAACCGGAUUAGAAACCCCAGUAGUCC